This 29603-nucleotide long non-coding RNA is filed under the name Triticum aestivum (bread wheat). Its description in RNAcentral is "long non-coding RNA (TAES_LNC017215)". The record is from RNAcentral. Lineage: Eukaryota; Viridiplantae; Streptophyta; Magnoliopsida; Poales; Poaceae.
ACAAGAAACUUAAAGGUUUUUCCUUUAGAAUCAGCGGACGUUCAUAUACAUGAAUUUACACUCCCCUAUGAAUUCACACACGCACACUCUAUCCCUUAUGAGCGCCUCUGAGAAAUUGAACCAACAGGUUGCGAGAUUGACGAAGUCAUGACCUGUGCAUCGCUGUCGAUGGGUCGUCGCUUACAGCGAAAGAAUAAGUCGUUAAACCCAGAAAUAUAUCGGGAAAACUGCAAACACCCUUCUCAAGUCAAGGACUUGAACCCGGUUGGAUAGCUUCCACCACAAGGAACCUAACAAACUGUGCUACGCUCAAUUCACCGAAGAGAUAAUGGUUGCGGUUUAUUAACCCUAUAUGUAUGUCUUUUUCGGCUCUUUCUUCUUAUUCAACUUCCCAACAAUAACCUCCCACAUGACUCAUAACACAACACAAGGAAAAAAAGGACUUCAUUUGGCCGCAACGUGAACCAGCACGCUUCUGGCCUAUAGACAGACUGGCUAUGGAUUCUACAGCAGUGAUCGGAUCGAAUCAAAUUUACAAAUUAACUUACUGUAACGCAAACUGAGCUACUCGACAUAAACACACAUAACUUCAUGCUGGCCAGUGGACGUCGAUCACUGCGCGGCUGUUGUCACCUCUUUCGAGGCUAAUUCUUCUUAGACGGCGUCGUCUGUUUCAUCUGCUUCUUCUGAGGCAGGAGCGACUUCCUCCUAUGGGCUGUCUUCGUCAAUUGCGUAUUGCUUGACGAUGCCUUCACCUUCUUUGGGGGAACCUUUGCAGCUUGCUCGCCCAUGACAAGAUUUGCUUCUUUUCUAAUAAUUCUUCUUCUCCAGUGGUAGCUGAGGUGAGGUGGAUAUAGUGUUUACUUUGCUCUGGUUGGGUUGAGGAAGCCUGCAGCAAUGGCUCCAUAUAUAUAGGAGGGGGAAGGUCUUUGAGAAAGCGCUUCGGCCAGACAACACGCUUCCACCGUGUGUGAGAAUUAUUUGGUGGCAUUAAUGUUUCUUGUGCCAGUCUGUUCUCUUUUGGGGAGUAGAUAUGCAUUAUAUUCAAUGCAUAUUAGUUAAGGAUCGCUGCUCAAUGGUUUGGUCAAUGGUUGGGUAUGCGGUUGGGUCAAAGGUUGUGGUCGCUGCCGCGUUGGUCUUUGUUUCUUCUCCUCCUGCUCCUUAUAUUACUACUACAUCAGAAUAAGUGUUGGUGGUUCAGUUUUGGUAGCACACGCCAGACACACAGAUGGCUUGUUAGUUGUUAGCAAGUACACACGAUGUUGCCGUUGCAUGGGAUGUUUUGCUAGAGCUUGAGUUUACAUUAGCCAAACCAAUUGGUAUCAUGUACGACAAAUCUUGUAUAUAUGUUUUGGUAGAGCUUGAGUUUAGAUUAGCUAAACCAUAAUAACUUUGUAUAUUAGUUAGGGGUCGAGUUGACAAGAGAGUUAUUUACCCAGGUUCAGACCUUGUGAGGGAGAACAUUAAUCAAAUUAUAUUUCAUGAGCUGGCCAGUAGGCAAAGAUCAUGUCAAGGUUAAAAAAUGAAUAGGAAUCGGCCGGCGCACGCACAAGCUGCCUAGCUUCGUCGACCUUCUCUUCUUUAUUUAAUUUACUCCUCCUGCUACCACGGCAUCUCGUUAACCACUAAUAUUGGAGCAAGCUAAGUAUGUUAAUACCGCUACAUAAGAACACCACUCAACCGCUCGCUAGAGUCUUCCCGCUGCUCAAUUACUAGCGCACUACCUUGAGCUGUCCCGCUUGUUUCUCCUUGGUGGUAAUGCUAAAGAAUAUUGCAAGAAACUGGAAUGAACACGCAAAAGACAGAUGUAGUUCAGCAACGUGUUAAUUAAUCACGUGUACGUCUUUUCUGACUCAUUUCUUUUAUUUGGUCACCCAAUAACACCAGAAAAACACAAAUAGCCACAACAUGAACUGGCACACUUAAUGUUUUUGCAGGAAAAACUCUCGUAAUUCAAACAAAAAAUAAUUCAAAAAAAAUCAUAAAAUUUCCUUUAGUCCCGGUUGGUGUUACCAACCGGGACUAAAGGGCCAGGGCAUUAGUAUCGACCCUUUAGUCCCGGUUCAUGAACCGGGACUAAAGGCCCUCACCAACCGGGACAAUAGGCCCUUUUUCUACUAGUGUCACUUAGUUCCGAGAUACAUGGCCAUUUAUAAAAAAAAUCUAAGAAAUACAGUUUACCACUAUUUGAAUUGAUACUGAAAAUUGCAAUUUUUUUUGGAAUGUUGAAAUACUAUGAACAAAAAUCUAAUCAUGCGUGUUUUGUUUUGACAAAUCCUUGCAUACAUUUAAAUUGAUAUUAGAAUCAAAUAAGCUUUCUAUCUAAAAUUGUGAUAUAUUUGCUUCCAAGACAUCAUAUUCUCGUUUGAGAAUGUAAAUAUUAUUACCUUCUCCUCUAUUGUCUCCUCUUAUUCAGUUCAUAGAUCGCAUGUCUCCUUCAUGUAAUCACAUGUACUCACACCAUUAUAUUAUUUAAGUUUGACCGACAAUAUGACUAUAUCUAAUGGUUGUGUAUGUGAGUGAGGUUGCUCGUUCUCAUCCACCUAGGUAAUCUUUUGGAUUGGCAUGGCUGUUCUGUCAUAUUGUUGAAGUAGAUGCAUAUGUGUAUAUUAUUGUGUAAAUGCUCACCGGCACCAAGAGAGAAUGUGAAACUUCCAAUAUUUUUCAUGGGCAACAUAUAAAAGAUAAGCUAAGUUGGCCCUAUAGCGCAGAUAAAUGUCACUAUAUCCCGUUAGAAGCACUAAAUUGUACAUAUGUGUUGUUUAGCAGGAUUCUAGAGGUUAUAGCCGCGGAAAACAUUCAACACACAUCUCUAUCCAAUUGUGAUAAUCAUACAUGCUAGCACAUUAUUAGACAUAUCUGUAGUAUGCUAAGUGUAACAAUAUGGCCUCUUCUACUUUGUUGAAGCAUCGUAUCAUGUUACAAAUAUAACGAAAAAUCUUCAAGAUCCGCUUGUAAAUCCCCAAGUACAUAAAUUCCCAUUCAAUUUAGAAGUCCGACAAGAUGCCAAGGUCGGCUCAUUGGGGGCAUUCCUCAAGUAUGUUACAUGACUUGACUAUAUAAUUUUAUUUCCCAUGCAGAGGUAGAAGAAAACCGUCCUCAAUAUUGUCUCCUCUUAUUCAGUUCAUAGAUCGUAUGUCUCCUUCACGUAAUCAAAUGUACUUACACCAUUAUAUUAUUUAAGUUUGAUCAACAAUAUGACUAUAUCUAAUGGUUGUGUAUGUGAGUGAGGUUGUUCGUUCUCAUCCACCUAGGUAAUCCUUUGGAUUGGCAUGGGUGUUGUGUCAUAAUGUUCGAGGUAGAUGCAUAUGUGUAUAUUAAUUGUGUGAAUGCUCACCGGCACCAAAAGAGAAUGUGAAACUUCCAAAAAAAUUCAUGGGCAACAUAUAAAACAUAAGCUAAGUUGGCCCUAUAGCGCAGAUAAAUGUCACUAUAUCCCGUUAGAAGCACUAAAUUGUACAGAUGUGUUGUUUAGCAGGAUUCUAGAGGUUAUUACCACGGAAAACAUUCAACACACAUCUCUAUCCAAUUGUGAUAAUCAUACAUGUUAGCACAUUAUUAGACAUAUCUGUAGUAUGCUAAGUGUAACAAUAUGGCCUCUUCUACUUUGUUGAAGCAUCGUAUCAUGUUAUAAAUAUAACGAAAAAUCUUCAAGAUCCGCUUGUAAAUCCCCAAGUACAUAAAUUCCCAUUCAAUUUAGAAGUCCGACAAGAUGCCAAGGUUGGCUCAUUGGGGGCAUUCCUCAAGUAUGUUACAUGACUUGACUAUAUAAUUUUAUUUCCCAUGCAGAGGUAGAAGAAAACCGUCCUCAAUACUGGAUCCAUCCAGAGGUGGCGGCAGUUUACAACCUCACAUCGACUGGAGACUAGCAUCGCCCUUGGAAAUGCCCUUGUAUUGCUGCUAACGUAUUUCUCAUUUCCCAGUAAACUGGAUGCAUUCAUGGAACAUGUAUGCCAAUCUCUCCUUUUAUUCAAUCACCCAACAACAACAUGAUGCACGACUCAACAACACAUGUAAGAAGAAACUAUACUUGGCCACCACGUGAACAAGCACACUUAUGAUUUACAUACUGAGGUUACUAAUUUAGACAACACAACAUAAACUGAUGUACAAGACAGAGACACAAUUGACUUCAUCAUAGCCAGACAACAUGGAUGAGAACGCGGCUGCUCUCACCACUUUUGAGGCCACUUCUUAUUUCUUAGGCUGCGGCUGCUUCUUCUUAGCCAUCAUCUCUUUUUCUGAGUCAGCCUCACGUUUAUCCUACGGUUACGCCCCUUCUUAGGAUUCCUUCGUUGUGCCCCCGGCUUAUUGGUUGACGGUUGCGUUGGCCUGUUAGGGGGAACCGUUGUACCUGGAACCUUUGGACCUGACUUGUCCAUGACGCCUCCUCCCCUCCUCCUCCUCCUCCUCCUCCUCCUCCUUCUUCUUCUUCUUCUUCUUCUUCGCUUGUGCAAGGUAGCUGAGGUGAGGUGGAUGUGGUGUUUGUUUUGCACCGGUUGGUUUGUGGAAUCCUGCAGCAACGGCGCGCGCAUAUAUAUAGGAGGAUUAAGGACUUGGGAAAGCGCUCUGGCCGGACAAGGUGGUUUCAUCGAAGGAAAAUGAUUUGGUGGCAUCCCCAGUGCUGCUGUUAGUCAGUCUCUUUUGUGUCGUUUUGGGGAGUAGAUAUGUAUAUUUGAUUCAUUUGUUAUGGGUGGAUAGGUAUGCAGUUGAGUCAGUGGUCUUCGUUGCUGACAGUUGAUCUUCAUUUCUUCUUCUCAUCCUCCUUGUACUAUAGCUACAUCAGAAUAAGUGUUGGUGGUCAAGUUUUACUAGCAUAUACCACACGGCUUGUUACUUGUUAGGCCAUCUUCAACGGCUAUCCGUGGACAAAGAGGAUCAGUCCGCGGACACAAAUUUGGGAGCCGGCUAUCCAACGCUGCACCAUACAUUUGAAACACUUUGUCAACAAAGCAGAUGUACCUCACUCAGACACAUCAGAUUACAUAUAAACCUGGUGAAAAACAUUUAUAUUUUUGACAUAUUCUAACUAAAAAACUAAAACUAUGUGCAUGUACCACCACACGGAGGUCCACUACCUUGACACGGAUACAUUACACUAGUCUACGAUCGGCCGCGGAGUGUCCCUUUGUCUUCCCCUUGUCAGGCAGUCUGGUGACUCAUCGGAUUGCUGGGAGCCCCGGAGGUAUAUUCCUCCCCUGUAUCUUCCCUAUGUCUGGCUGCGCCGCUUAUCGGAGUGGCAAAAAGGGUGCUUCAGUCGAAAGGGAAGGGGGAAUCCGCUUCCGUGAAGCGCGGAUCAGGGUUGGUGUUUGGGGCAGGGGAAGAUGGUGGCCUGCGAGACAGGGCGAGACAUUUGGUGUGCAUGCGGCGAUGCUGCGGCGGUGGCCUUCUAAGGACCCAAGUGGCGGCGGGCUCCCAUGUUCUACUUUUCCUCGAUUUUGUCGGCAAACGCGGACAUGCUAGCCGCCGCCUCGUCGAUCUCCACUAUAUAUGAGAUGCCUAGUAUAUAAGUGUCCUACUAGGACACGACUUCAUAUUCUAUCUAAACACAAUACUACUCAGAGUCCAACUAUAACCUACCUUAUACACAAUAUUCCAUACAACUCUAACAACUCCGGCUGGGUCAAGGAAACCUCAUGCACGGCCGGCUGGAAGACGCGCUUCCACCAUGGAGAAUGGUUUGGUGGCGUUCAGAGUCAGUCUCGUUUGUUUUGUUCUGUUUUCAGGAGUAUGUAUGCACAUUCGAUGCAUUUGUCAUUGACGGAUGGAUGCGGUCGGGUCAAAGGUCGUGGUCGUCUCCGCGUCAGUCUUCACUUCUCCUCCAUCUCCUCUUCCUUAUACACCUACAUUAGAACUUGCGUUAGGUUAAGUUUAGGAAGCAUACGGAAUUUCUUUUAGUUAUAAUCAAAUAGAUUAAGAUAUCUUGCAAUCACACCAUGUCAUAGGCACAUGUGAUUUUCAUGCAAAUUAUUUCUUUGACCUGCUAUCACCAGCAACUGCCAGCCUGAACCAUUUUAUAUCAAUCCAAACCAAAACGAGCUACCUGUACAAGAUGGAGAUAAUUGCAACAAAUUCAGACCGUGUACGUCUAGUGCAUCUGUUGAUAGCAUUUAACCUGCCAUGAUUCUUUGAGGAUGCAUGUUGGCCUAUGCAUCCUUUGAUUGGAUGGACUUCUCUAAAUAUUCACUACACAAGUCAGUCAUUCUCAGAAGUGGACGGUCCAGCGAAUUUGGAAGGGUUAAGAACAUGGUUAAUAGUAUAGCCAGCUGCCAUGUCAUCUACAGCUCAUUUUAUAGUCAAUAUGUACAAUAUUAGAUCAAAAGAGUGUACUACUUUUUUAUUAUGUGGUCCACCUUUCAUUCUCACAAAGUGCCUAGGAGCACGUGCUAGAGCUCGCUCUUCAUGAAGAGCCCGCUUAUCUUCUUUCUCCUCUUCUCUUUACUCCAACUAAGCAGAAAUAUACUAGUUUAUUCCUUAUAGCCCGCUGACUCAGCUCUAUUGUACUUGCUCUAAGGAAAGAAAAUUAUCUAUUGGCUAUGGCUGAGACUAAUUCUGACUGAUGUUGUUGAUGUGUCUGCUAAUUUGGCAAAAUUCCUCGCUUGUCCAAUUGCAGCAUCUCGCUCUAGUAGUAGUCCAAGUCUCUCAGCCUCAAAUACGAUGCAUAUGACUAUUUUAAUGGAAAAACCUGUUGGCGUGUUGCGUCAAAUGGCACAGACCGGCCAAGCUGGGCCGGCCCAUUAAGAUGUACAGUUGUUCUCCGUCUUGGGGAACCUUUCGGAAGGUUCCAGUCUGGUUUUCACCGUUUUUUGUUUUUCUUUCCUGGUUUUCAUUUUCUUUUUUUCUUAAAUAUUGGUCUUUUUGGUAAAAAAAUAUCUGUUAUAAAAUAUCAAAUUGUUCAUGUUUUACAAGUUUAUUGGAAUUUCUAAAAAUGUUUUCACUUCCAAAAAUUCUUCACAAACUAAAAGAUGGUCAUGUUAUUAUAAAAAAUGUUUGUAAUUUUUUAAAAUGUUCCUGUAUUUAAAAAGUGUUCACAAAUUCAAAAAAUAGUCAGGAACUUCAAAAAAUAUGUUUAUUGUUCAUUUUUUAAAGGCACAUCUUCCAAAAAAAUAGAUUCUUCAUAAUAAGGUUUAUGUUUUUAAAAAAAUAAAUCCACCAAAAAUAUGUUUACUAUGGGCAUUUGGGGCAUGUUUUGGGGUGUUGUAACGGGGCUUCCACCCUGCUAGUGCAUGUUCUAUGCUGGUUUCAGUCUAACCCGCCAAGAGUGUUUCCUAUUGUACUGCUUGCUUUCUUUCUAAUAAAGAUCGGCCAAGGGCCCUUCGAGAAAAGAUCUUCCCCUUUAAUGGCGGAUUUGGUUUUUUAAUGGGAGGAAGAACAACAUACCAGGCUACCAACUCUCCCAUUAAGAGUAGAGAUUCCCGAGAAGCCGCUGGCGCUAGAUAUAUGACCGCAGCCAGGCGAGAAAGACGCGGGAUUCUAGAUGGGGAUAAGGAACAAUAUUGGUGGAGAUGAAGAAGGGUUGGACGAAACCAAAAUUAACAUAUCCUUGUCAAAACAAGAAACCAAAAUUAACAUAUGAUGAUGAAGGAAAGUACAGGGGAUGUGUGGGUAAGGGAAGGAAAGCAAAUAAUUGAUCGAAUCGGCACCAGGUUUUGUUGGGACACACGUGAUUUCUUGUUAUGAUGUUCGCACUUGGGAGAAGCAGAACAUAGCGAGCUAGAAUGGUCAUGCCAGCUGCUGCUUAGACAGGCAUCUCCGGCGUGCUGGGAAUCAAUGUCCCGACAUGCUCGAAACAGGAGGGCGCUGCACCGUGUUGGAACUGGACAACCACCAUGUUGUAACUGUGGUUGAACACCAGUGGUGGGGACAGAUGCGAGGGACCUGUCCUGUGAGGGCGGCAACACCACGGCGAGCGGUAGCUAGCCGGUAGUGCUUCGAGAAUCGGUCGGCGCACGUCCAUCACAAGUAUAGUGGCGCUAGCUAUCGACUCUUUUCGAUCAAAUGGGAAGGAGCGAGCACUGUGUGAGGAAGGAGACGAAGAGAAGAAGAAUCGAAACGUGCCAGUGGGGCCAAUCCGGCUGGCACCAAGCGACCAACCAAAUUUUGGGCAAGUCGACCGGCGCCUAGCGCCGCCCUUGGAAAUGUCAUUGUAUCGAUGCUAACGUAUUUUUCAAUGUACUGGAUGCACUCAUGGAACAUGUAUGUCAAUCCUUCCUUUUAUUCAAUCACCCAACAACAACCUAAUGCACGACUCAACAGCACAUGUAAGAAGAAAGUAUACUUGGCCGCAACGUGAACAAGCACACUUAUGGUUUACAUAUUGAGGUUACAAAUUAACCUGCCACAACAUAAACUAACGUACAAGACAGAAACACAAUUAACUUCAUCAUUGCCAGACAACAUGGAUCAGAAUGAAAAAAAAUAAAAUAUAGUAAAAAGAACAUGGAUCAGAACGCGGCUGCUCUCACCACUUUUGAGGCUAUUUCUUAGUAUUUCUUAGGCUGCGGCUGCUUCUUCUUAGCUAUCCUCUGUUUUUGCGAGUCAGCUUCAGAUCUUUCCUACGAUUACGCGACUUUUUAGGUUUCUUUGGUUGUGCUUUGGCUUAUUGGGUGGCGGCGGCGUUCGCUUGUUAUGGGGAACCGUUGUACCUGGAACCUUUGUACCUGUCUUCUCCAUGACGCCUCCUCCUCCUACUCCUCCUCUCCCUCCUCCUCCUCCUCUCCUUCUUCUUCUUCUUCUUCUUCUUGUGCGAGGUAGAUGAGGUGAGGUGGAUGUGGUGUUUGUUUUGCACCGGUUGGUUUGUGGUGUUCUGCAGCAACGGCGCGUGCAUAUAUAUAGGAGGGAUAAGGAAUUGGGAAAGCGCUCUGGCCGGACAACGUGGUUUCAUCAAAGGAAAAUGGUUUGGUGGCGUCCCCAGUGCUGCUGUUAGUCAGUCUCUUUUGUGUCGUUUUGGGGAGUAGAUAUGUAUAUUCGAUUCAUUUGUUCUUGGCGGAUAGGUAUGCAGUUGAGACAGUGGUCUUCGUUUCCUCUUCUCAUCCUCCUUAUACUAUAGCUACAUCAGAAUAAGUGUUGGUGGUCAUAUUUUGCUAGCAUAUUCCACACGGCUUGUUACUUGUUAGACCAUCUUCAACGGCGACCGCAGAUUACCUCCAACAUCCAUCCAUGGACAAAGAGGAUCAGUCGUCCGUGGACAGAGAUAUGGGAGCCGGCUAUCCAACACUUCCCGCAUACAUUUCAAACACUUUUUCAACAACCCGGAUGUACCUCAUGCAAACACAUCAGAUUUCAUACAAACCUAGCGAAAACAUUUAUAUUUUUGACAUAUUUUAACUGAAAAACGCAUGUACGACCACACAGAGGUCCACUACCAUGACACAGAUACAUUACACUAGUCUACGGCCGGCCGCGGAGAAUCCCUUUGUCUUCCCCUUGUCAGGCAGUCCGGUGACUCAUCGGACUGCCGGGUGCCAAGGAGGUAUAUUCCUCCCCCGUAUCUUCCCUAUGUCUGGCUGCGCCGCUUAUCGGAGUGGCAAAGAGGGUGCUUCAGUCGGAGGGGAAAUGGGAAAUCCUCUACCGUGAAGCGUGGAUCAGGGUUGGUUUUUGGGGCAGGGGAAGAUGGUGGCCCGUGAGACAGGGCGAGACAUUUGUUGUGCAUGCAGCGACGUAGCGGCGGUGGCCUUCCAAGGACCCAAGUCGGCGGGCUCUCAUGUUCUACUUUUCCUCGAUGUUAUUGGCGGACGCGGCCGUGCUGGCCGCCGCCUUGCCGAUCUCCAAGCUGGCUUCUUUUUCCAUCGACAAGGCGCGGUCCUGCGAACGAUGAUGUCAGAUGGCUCGUAUCUGGAGGGUUCGGCAGGCCACCCAGCCAGAUUUUAUACCGGGCUCUUCCUACACGCCGAAUGUCAUGAAAAGAGUGAAGAAAAUAGUGGAAGGAGGAGAUGGGGAGCGGAGGAGAGGUGCGAUUGUUGCCCGGCGUCUGGCCUCCUUUAAAUAGCGAGCAGGUGCGAGGAAAUUUCCCGUUGUUGUGUUUAAUGCUGACCGGAUCAUGAACAUAUGUUUGGCUGGAGUAGCUUUCUCGGCACACACGCGGAUUUAAUGGAGGCGUGUUCAGUCGGGCGUGCAGCGGGCGACGCCAUCGGCCAGCGUGCCACUUUAAUGCCAAAGCCAGUGAGACGUCGCGCUCGCUCUGGGAUAGCUUCAAUGUGGGAGCAAACGCUCAACGACAACAUGAAUGAGGACAGCUGACGCCGGGCAGGAACGCGUGCCGGUGAGGGUGUGGAUUGGCAUCGGUGGGCUAGGGUUUCCAAAAGUGGGCGUGGGAGCAGUCCAGACGCCUGCAAAGCCCCCAUGCUUGUCUUCGGUUUGUGAGAGAAAGUGCGUCUCAAGACUGAACGGACCGAUACAGUUGCAUGGCAAAACACGUCCCCUCCGCCUGGUCCAGACGUAUGUGGAUUUAAGGGUCGUCGUUGGAGAUGCCCUUACUCAUGAGCGAUUUUGACAUGGUUCUUCUUACCUCCUCUUUGACAUGGUAGGUAAGAAGGUAAGAGUUACUGACCAACUACUUAAUUAAGGGCUCAUAUCUAUUACAUACGUUUUCCCUUCAUACGAAAAGAGGAGGUUAGAGAAAUCAUGUGCACCUACGCCAUGCAUGAUUUAUGGCGUAAGUAUACACGUAGCUGCCGUUGUAUAAGAUGUUCAGGUAGAGCUUGAGUUUGGAUUAACUAAACCCAUUGUAAUAGAUCUUAGCUCAUUAAUUAAUGACUUGAUUAACUCUCACACUACUAGAAAAAGGGCUGUUAGUGGCGCACCUGUUUUUGCUAUUUGUAGUGCGCCACUAUUAACACGCCACUAGUAACAAAUAGUAAUGGCGCACCUCUUGUGCGCCACUAGUAUCCCAGAUAAUAGUGGCGCAUCAUACAGUGCGCCAUUACUAUGUCCACCAGUGCGCCAUUACUAUGCCUCCCAGGGGGCCAUAUUUACCUUGUGCUCUGAGUUACUAAUGGCGCACUUUCAGAUAAUGCGCCACUGAUGUGUUUAUUUCAGUGCGCCACUAAAGUGCAAUAUGGUGCGCCACUACAAUGAAUAUUAGGAAUUAUCUUUUUUUUUUCUUAUCUGAUAUUUGCACAGGUUACAAAAUACAUUACUGCACAGAAUAUAAACAGCACAACAUAUAAACAACAGAUUUAUUGAGUACAAUAGAAGAUUAGUCUCCGAAUACAAUUCAUCAUAUUAGCCUCCGAAUUCAAAAUACCGAACAAAGUUAUAACAUUACAAGCCUCGAGACCGCGAGUAGCGAGUUUGUCUUCACAUUACAAGUCGAUAUCGAUCAUCUAAACUACCCAUCACAUAGAAGAGAGCUGCGGUCAUCGCGAUGAAACUGGUCUUCACCCGGUUCCUCCAACGCUCCCUCCUCUCUCCGGCUAGUUAGCGCGCGUAUCUAGCUUCCGCCUCCGCCCUUGUGGUGUACCCUUUGUAACUGUUACCGCUGAAACGGUGAACCUGUCUCUGACACUCCUUCCAGUCAUCGUAGACUCCGGGAACCUUACCCUUGUACACAACAUACGACGGCAUAUCUAUGCACUAGACAAACAAAACGUUAGUAGCAAUUCACAGACAAUACAUAAGCAAUAUAUAAGUAUGCAACAAAAGGAUCGGAAGAGAAAAGCAACACAUUAAUAGCACGAUUCAUGGUCCUACUAAUAAAUAGCAUCGAUUACAUAUAAGUUGAACGACUGUCCAAACUAAAGAGACAUACAAGUUCAUUAAAGUUUAAUUACAACAUGAGCUAAUCGAUAUUUCAGAACUACAUAGCAUCACUGCUUUCGACUCGACUCAGGGACCGGAGCGUGGAUGAAGCCGCCGUCUAUCGUGAUGGUAAUGAAAUCACGGUCGUUGUCAGCCUGCAUUUGUAGCGUUGUUUUUAUCUCACUGUUGGACAGUUGAUAUCUAAGGUGGAACUGCCCCGAGGUACGAAGGACAUCUUGAUGGAUGAUUUCCGCAAACAACGAGUGGAUGCGAAAGAAUUCUUGUCUGAUGUCCGCGUCCUGAAUUACCGACAAGCGUGCGGCCCAAUCUUUGAGAUUAGUUGGUAGCAGAAGGUGAUUAUGGUCCCGUACAAUCGCCCGCAUGUGAUGGAGGGCGUAGUAGGCAUCCUUCUGACCGCCAGGCAGCUGCUUGACGCAGGGAAACAUCGUAUUGUGGGUGAACACGUGCUUGCCUUACCUACAAAUUGGCCUCCUGAAGGUGCCUCCAGAUCUGGCGUAGCCGGGGAGAGCUUCAUCAAGAACUUUCUUAAUAUUUGUGUAGUCUUUCUUUGACUGACGGUCCGAGUCAAAAUACGUGGCCAUGGAAUAUUUCGGGCUUAAGAGGAUGAGUGUGCAAUGUGUGUCACUGCACAAAACACGGAAUGUUAGAAAAAAAAAGAACGAUCGAAAUCUAAGAAAUCAUAUGUUACGGGUAUCUGGGUUCGCCAGAAUGACGCCUUCGAGGUAUGAACUCGCGACUUGCCGGUCCCCAGCGCUGCCCAAGAUCUUGGUACGCAUGUAGAAGGAGUCGACUAUCAUGAUGCCCGGGGUCUUGUCUCUAAUGAUCCGCAUCUCCAUACUGAGCCAAAAUAGCCGAAUGAAGGUGUAGUGCAGCGGAUGAAGGUUAAACAUAGCGAAGAUGUCAUCAAACCGCAGGACGAUCAUACCCCCGAUGGUGCUAUCGACAAAGCCCUUGCCCUCUGGCACCUUGGCCACGAAAACCGGGUAUGCCACAUCAUUCUCGGAGAGACGCCGCUUCUCCAAAGAAAGAACACUGUCAUGCAGACUCCGCAUAGCACCGAUUGCAGCAUUGAGAAGAUUAGUCGGUAGCAUCGGCCUACCCGCCACAUGCACCCUCCUCGAGAUAUCCUUAGGUGAAGGUGGCCCGUCCUGAGCACGGAUCGUACUCGGUGCCGGCUGGCUCGCACCCUUGUUAUUCUUUCUUUUCCAUCCUUCUUCUUCUGCUGUAAUGGGAUCGAGUUCUGCUCAGAGACCGCCUUCUUGAGUGUGUUGGGGUUGAUAAUAUUUCGCACCUCGGCUAUCUGAGGCUCGGUGAAGGCGGCAGCUGGAGGCGUCUCCUAAGAACUGAACACCAGACGAUGCCUGUUGCAAUUGGGUUUCUCCGCGGUACCAGCUUGAUCGCGGUGGUCUUUUGCAGGGUUGGGUUCUUGAGAAGGAGGCCCCAAGAAUUCGUCACCGUACCCAUGUUCGUUGAAGUACUUAUCGACGUUGGUAAAUGUACCGUCGUCGUCUGGAUCCUGUGCCAUAUGCAUGUCCGGAUCCUGUGCCAUAUGCAUGUUCAGCAUGUCCGGCAGCGUUGCGGGGGUCUUGCCAUGGCUUGGCGCCAGCACGACUGGCGGUGUUGUCUGUGGGGUGGUGUCCCCCGCCCCCAAACGAAUCUGGCAAUUCGGCCAAAGCAGGGGCCAGCUUAAGCAGGCGCUGAGGGUCAUCACAUCAUCUUCGUCGGCCCCAGGGGAUCGAAAUGGAGGUAACAAGUCGUCGCAGCCCGGCAGCACCCAAACCAAUUGAACCCUAUACACGGUGGGUGGCAUCAGAUUACCAUGGAACACGGGGUUGCCCGAUUGAACGAUUCUGGCCUUGGCGACAUCGAUCAACUCGCCACCCACGAAGUGCAGGAGAGUGCAUGGAACAUCGGCGGCGCCCUGCGAAAACAUGUAGGGCGUCAGGGAUGCCCAGUCAAAGGCAAGGAGAUGAAGUCAUCGGCCAAGAGGCUUAGUUACCAUGAUGGCGUCUUGCUCGGCUAAUGUCGAGGCACCGCCAACGGCGGGCGUGCAAGUGACAGAGGGCCGCUUGCUGCCGAGGUGCCGGCCGGCGUAUUCUUCCCACAGCCGAGUGCAUUAAGCUCCAAUGCCCGUGCCGGCGCCAGAGACACCAAUACUGCCUCCGCCGGAGACACCAAUGGCGCCGCCGGCGCGUUGUGCGAGUUGCUGCCCGUGAAGCUAGGAAUCGGGGGCGGCCCCUGUUGGCCGCCCGCAAUCCACGCCUGCAGCCCCUCAAUCAAGGUAGGCACAAUGGCGGUGAUCGUCGCUCCCAGUUGGUCUCGCACUUGCUCUUGGACUAUCUCCGGAAUCUGCGCCACUUGUGCCUUGAGUUCUUGAACCUCGCACUCCUGGCUUUCCGAGUUGGUCUUUCUCUCCUUUCGCCCAGCGUUAUAGUAUUCUGACCAUUUCGUGGACAAGCCUUUGCCGGCCACACGACCAGCUGAUGACAGCUUACUGAACUAAUCCUUGUGUUUCAUUAAGUUCAACGCCCUAUUUAAAGUGGUGUCCCAAGGGGAGCUCUGAGACGACCCCGCGCUACAGCUUUUAGUGUCUUGCGGAAGGAACGUCAACCAUUUAGAAAUUUGGCUUCAUUAAUUAGAAUGCAACCAUAUGGAGCUAAUUACGCGGGGGUGUAUUCCUUUCCAGAACAAGCUCAAGCACCUUGGUCUUCGGAUCCGUGGUAAGCUCCUUUAUUACCGGGUCCACCUUGUACCGGGCCCUGACAUAGUUCCUAGUCUACUUGUCACGGUAUUUAUCGAAGAGGGGCGGUAGGCCUUGCUCGGCACGCUCUGCGUCCUCCUUGUCCCAUAUAGGUUCCGCCACUUUGUAAUCGCCGGGACCGAUAUUUUGGACCCCUAAGUUCAAGUCCCGCAUAUCUUUCCCCCACUGACUUGAUUCCACGGCUGCGUUGCUCUCGCACUUGAUCUUGAACUCCCGGUAGUCAGCUUCGCUGAUCGAAGGAUUUGUAUCCUUGAUCUUCUCAUAACUAUCACCUCUUAGAAUCCUUCUCCUCACCGCGGCUCUCCAAGUAGCCAGGGCCAUGCUCAUCUUCGUGAGGGCGGAACUGUUCACUUUAUUCCCCGAGAGGCGUGUGUUUGCGAAGUCACCGGGGAACUUGUAUCGUUCGUGCAGCUUCGUGAAGAGGAGGUUGCGCAAAUUCCCUUGGUCACGAUGCCUUAGGUUCUCGGUGUUGAUCGAUACGGUGCUCCGGAGAAUGCACCCGAGUUGUCCCGAGUACCCACUUACUAAUUCUUUAGGCACCGUUGGAUGCCCACUGGAGGACACUUCAGUAAAUUCCUGCUUGAUGGUGCCGAGCACGUUUGGGCGCCGGUCCUUCUGUUGCCUCUUCGGUUGGCAGCCAUCUGUGCGUGCACUGCCAUCAUCAGUGGUGGCAUCCUCGGCGGCACCAUCAGUGGUGUCAUCCCCGACGCCACUAGGGGUUGUGUAGUCAGGAUCGGUGUCUUCCGCGGCGUCCUCAUAGCGGUGAGGUUCUUCCUGCAUCUCCUGGGACAGCUCCCAGAAUGCCUUACCCGAACCACCGGCCUCAUCGUUGUGGGCCAUGUUCGCUCUAAAUAGGAAAAAAGUUUGGUCAAAAAGUUGGUUAUUGUAAAGGAACAAGAUCUCUAAGUUGACCAAAUAACCUAAUUCUCGAGGAAUGUCACCAAAAAGUUGGUUAUUGUCAAGGAACAAUUGAGAGAUGUUUGUGAUAUUGUCUAGGUGUUUUGGGAUGGAACCUGUUAGUGUGUUGUUGCUAAGGUCCAAGUCCACGUACUCAAGGUCUAAGAUAAUUUAAUCAGGGCAAUUGCAGUGGAUUUGUGCACAAGCUAAGCUAGCUAAGACAGUAGCUUCCUUGCAACCCACAAAAGACAAAGGAAAAGGGGUGAAAAGGGGGAGAUGGUUAGCUUUGAUGAGCAGGCAUCAUCUUCCUAACCCCCUUCUUCUUGUCUCCUCUCACUAUCUCUCUCACACACAUGGCAAGCAAGGGUGUCUGAGUGUGUGAAAUAAUACUAAACUAAUCCAACCACUAAAGCACUAGAUCACUACUAUUGUAUAAUCUUUUUAUAGCUUUGUAUAUAUGUAUGGCUCCAAUGGGUGCCACUGCCAUGCAUCCCUCUCCUAUCAUUUAAUCAUGAUUAGCCCAUCAUUUUGUCUAGAGAUUAGUUUUGGUUAAUUAAUUAACUAGUGUGUGCCACAGCAGAGCACAGAUCUCCAUCUAGCUAGUAGGAGUAGCUUUCCAAGGCCUCUUUCCAAGGCUUGUUUCGGUUGAGAAUCGGGCACCUUCUAGGUCAAGAAAAUUGGGCAUGACAUUUGCUAAUUUUCUUGACCUAGGAGUGCCCCAUUCUCAACCGAAACGGAAAUUAAUCAACAUUUCAGGAGAAAGGGGCCAUUUCAAAAGAUCACAAGUAGCAGAAGCAUCACUUGACAAAAUCACAAGUAGCAGCAGCAUCACAAGUAGUACAGCAGCAACAUCAUCACAAGUAGUACAGCAGCAGCAGUGAAUACAAUGCGUACAGCAGCAGCAUCAUCAUCACAAGUAUUGUGAUGCCCCUUCAAACAAGAGUUUCUUGCUCUCUCUUUUUUUUUUGACAUGAACAAACAAGGGUUGCCAAUUGAAACUAACUUGUGAUGAUGUUGUUCCUUUAAAGUGCAGUUCAGUAUAUGUAACAAAAAUCAGGUGACAAAACUUGCACACCCCUCUCCGCUUAACGAGGCAAGGAAACAGUGCCAGGAUAGCAACCAAACACUGUCCAGGCACAGUUUAGGGAGGCUCCAAGCCAGACACGAUUCAGUGUGGACACUAUCCAAACACACCCUACAUGACUGUGGAUACUUGUAAAAACUUGGUUUAGCUCCUUUCACACAUAUAUAAGCAGUUGGGAAAAAGACACAAUUUCCUGUAAGAACUUGAAAAAGAAACUAUGCCAUAUGUACUUCAAGACUUCAAGUAUAUAGCCAUAAAAAAUAGUUCAUGCAUGUAUGAGCCGUGGAUCGUGCUGUUUCCGAAAAGAGUAAACCCACGGGGGGCAACUUACCUGUGAUUUCAGGCUAAUUGUAUUAAAAUUUGAAGCAACUACUAUCAGACAUGUAAAAAAAGGUGCUAUAUCUCUCUUGUGCUAUCUCUCUCUUGCAAAAAAGUGCAGUUCCUUUAAAGUUUCAAAUAUGCACUUGCAUUGCAUUUAAACAUGCCCAUUGGGUGUGGGUGAACCAUUCAGAACAAUCAGCCAUGGCAAUGUCACAUUUCAGCACCAAAGUGGCUUGCACUUCUUUUUAGUUGAACUUUUUUUAAUAGACAAACAACUAAAUGCUCAGAACUACUACUACUACCACUAGAUCAUUUUCCUCUAGAACAGAACCAAACAUUUUUUUAUAUAAAAAUACGUAGUUCACAGAUUUUGGCACAAGAAGUCCAGUUCAUGUCGUACCAACAAUGCUUAAAAUAGUUGGCCAAACAAAAAAAUUAACAGUAAGGUGCAUUGACUUUUUCUUUAAAAGGUUAAGGUUAUACUUGAAGAACUAAGCUCCAGGUCCACUACAAACAAGUUUCAGUUCCAAGUUUGGCACUUGCUGUCCGACACAAGCCACAGCCCCCUUGAACAUUCAGCAAGUGCACGAAACAAACGCAUGUUACAAGACCAAAAACAUAUUGGCGCAUCAAUUGGAAGCCAUCCAUCAUAUACCAUCAGAAAAAGGCUAGAGAGAAUUGGGGAAACAAAGGUGAACCUCUCUCUUCUUGCACUCCUUGUAGUUGUCGAACUGUUGCUAGCACUUGCUCUUGUCCUGGUUGGUCUCCAGACCUGGAGACACGGCACAUCAUUAGAGAUUUCAUCAAAUACACACGAAAUUGUCCAGAAAUUAUGGCCAGAAAAUGAACUGGGGGUGAUUGGAUUAGAAAUUUAGGAUUAGGGGCGGAGGAUGCGCGUACACUUGAGGGAGGCGGUGUAUUGGGGGAAGCAGGAGGAGUCGGCGAUCUGGGCCGCGCUGGGUUAGGUCCGGAGUUGAGGUGGAGCGGAGACCGGAGCUGAGGUGGCCGGUGUUGAGGAAGAGGGGGGCGACGGGGAGCGGGCCGGCUGGUGGUGGAAGCCCCAGCCUAGGCACGGGAUCAGCUCCGAGGGAGGAGAGCGCGAGGUCGGCGGGGACGGGGGAUCUCCAGCUCGAACGGAUCCUCCAAGACAGCGUAGCGGAGCUUGGCGCAGCUCCUAGGCACAACGACGGAGCACGGGGCAGUCGGUGGCCGCGGUGACGCGUGGCGGCCGCGCUUGGGGAGGCGGGAGCCGCGAAGGGUUCGGUCGGCUGGGCGCGCCGCGGCGGAGGGCCGGUAGCGGCGGCUUGAACCCUAGGUCUCGCGCUCGGGAAGGGAUCCGGUGGUGGGCUCGGGGAGGAGGCGGCGNNNNNNNNNNNNNNNNNNNNNNNNNNNNNNNNNNNNNNNNNNNNNNNNNNNNNNNNNNNNNNNNNNNNNNNNNNNNNNNNNNNNNNNNNNNNNNNNNNNNNNNNNNNNNNNNNNNNNNNNNNNNNNNNNNNNNNNNNNNNNNNNNNNNNNNNNNNNNNNNNNNNNNNNNNNNNNNNNNNNNNNNNNNNNNNNNNNNNNNNNNNNNNNNNNNNNNNNNNNNNNNNNNNNNNNNNNNNNAAGGGGAUCGGCGGCGGUGGCGUGAGGGGAGAAGGACGAACGGGUAGGCGAGGGGCGAGAUGGGAGAGGCGAGGGACGAGGGGUGGAUAUUUUAGUGGGGGAAGGUUAGCAAUGGCGCACCUCCUAGGGGUGCGCCAUAAAUACCGUGAUAGCAAUGGCGCAUCCUCCCCUGGUGCGCUAUUACUAACUUUUUUUUGGAUAUUUAGUUGCAUCUAAUAAUUUUUUAGAAAAUAACGAUCAAAUUUGAAAACAUUUAUGAAUGUGAAAAAUAUCAUCAAAUUUGAAAACAUUUAUGAAAAAACAUGAAUAUGAAAACAUUUAUGAAUAUGAAAAAAUAUCAUCAAAUUUGUUAUUUGAAAAUAUAUUUUUUGGAUUUUUAGUUGCAUUCAUUUGUGAAUUAGUAAAACAUUUAUGAAUAUGAAAAAAUAUCAUCAAAUUUGAAAAAAUAUUCAUGAAUUCAAAAAUGCCCAUGAAAUUUAACAAUAUUCAUGAGUUCAAAAAAUAUUAACAAAUUCAAUACUUUUUGUGAGUUAGAAAUUCAAUACGAGAAUAAACAUAAAUAAAAAUUGGUAUACCGGAAUAAACAUAAAUAAAUAUUCAUGAGGACUAGAACAGAAGAAAUGUCAUUUCCAUAUGUCGAAAUACAAUCGAGAAAUGAAGAAUACAAUUUAAAUACAAUCGAUCUUAGCUAGCUAUCUUUUCACAAUCUUCUUGUCCUUUUUCGCAAAUGGAGUUCUUCUCUUGAACAGACGUCCUUUAGGUAGGAUGGUCCUGCUGCUUCUUGUGGUGUAUGGUACUUCAUCGUCGUCAUCAUGUUCCAUCUUCGGGUCGCCGUACUUGUCGAAGUCUUGCUCAUUGGCGACUCUAUCCAUUCCGAUGAUCUUCAUUUUGCCUCUCCUCACGACAACACGACUGGGCUUUGACAGGUCCGUAAUGAAGAAGUAUUGGUCCACUUGGGAAGCCAGUACCCAUGGCUCAUUUUUCGCAGUGAUAUUUGCGUCCGCGGUCUUGGAUUUGGCUUCGGGUAUAACCAUGGUGGUGAAAUACGGGUGUUCUUUUAGGACGCUCUUGGCCCAUCUGACACGGAACAUCGGGACCUUCUCUCCAGCGUAGCUCAGCUCAUAGAUCUCCUCGAUCCUUCUGUAGUAUAUGUCCUUGUCGUUACCGGUGUAGCAUUCCAUCGUUAUCCUAGAGUUCUGAUAAUCAUCGCUCUUCAUGUCCUUUUCCUCGGUGUAGAAUGUGUAGUCGUUGAUAUCAUACGUGUCAUAGGUCAUCAGGUUGUGCUCGGCGCCCUAUGAUAAUGCGAAUAUGAGUUUUCCUUCCGCGGAAGAAUCCUCAUGUAAAGGGUACGACAGAAGCUUCUCCUUGAACGAACGCGUGAAACAUGAGUUGUGCUCUUUGAUUAUAUUUCCGUCCGUCCUCUGUUGGCCUCGGUCAUUGUACGGCUUCUCAAUAAAGGUUUUGUGCUCUACCACCCAAGGAUAGACCACGUCUAUGUGCUGUAGCACGACUAGGUUUGCUCUUUCAAAGUCAGCGAGUCGACCCUUGAAGUCGACAUGCAUUUCGCGGCGACCCUCGUGGUGACCCCAUCCAGCGAGCCUGCUGAGGUGCCUGUUGACGGGCAGACCAACCGGAUUCUCGAUGCCUAGAUAAUUCGUGUAGUAGGAGAUGCACUCUUCGGUCAGAAAGCCCUUGGCUAUGCUUCCCUCUGGACGUGACAUGUUGCGAACGUAUCCUUUGAUGACACCAUUCAUCCUUUCGAACGGCAUCAUGCUGUGCAGGAACGUCGGCCCGAGUUGGAUGAUAUCCUCCACGAUAUGGACCAGCAGAUGCACCAUAACGUCAAAGAAUGCGGGCGGGAAGUACAUCUCAAGCUCGCAUAGUAUCACCACGAUCUCUUCCUAUAGCCUUCUGAGCUGCCUCACGCACACCGACUUCCGAGAGAUGACGUUGAAAAAGUUGCAUAUGCCAAAUAGCAUUUCACGGAUGUGCGCGUCCAUGAUCCCAUGGAUUGCAAUUGGAAGUAUCUGCAUCAUCAGCACGUGACAGUCGUGAGACUUCAUCCCGCUGAACUUCUGCUUCGCUGAGUCUAGGUAUCGGCUUAUCUUCUCCGGUAACCGUAAGGAAGUUUUACUCCUACGAGGCAGGUGAAAAACUAUUCGUUCUCCUCCUAACUUAGAGUGAAGCACGUGGAAGGGCAGUCAUUUCCAAUCUUCUUGGCCUUUUUGCCUUUGCGACGACUUUCUGUGUCCUUCGCCUCAUCAUCAUCAUCAGCAGCAUCAUUAUUAGCGUGAAGCUCCUCCCUGAUGCCCAUUGAUUUCAAGUCUGCCCUUGCUUUCGGCCCAUGUUUGGUCCUCUCUGGCAUGUUGAGCAGGGUACCAAGCAGACUCUCGCACACGUUCUUCGUGAUAUGCAUGACAUCAAGGCUGUGAGGCACACGGAGGAUCUUCCAGUAUGGCAAGUCCCACGUAUUGGCUGGCGUUUUCCAUAGCUUGUCUAGCUCCUCUUUCAGCAGCCCUAAAUACAGAUUGAUGUCGUUCCCUGGAUGUUUCGGCCCUUCAAUUAGCAUACUCAUGUGAAUGUACUUCCUCUUCAUGCACAACCAGGGGGGAAGGUUGAACAUCCACACAAACACAGGCCAGGUGCUAUGUGUGCUUCUCUGGCUGCCAAACGGAUUGACUCCAUCGGUGCUCACGCCCAGCAUGAUGUUCCUUGGAUCGUCCCCAAAUUCUAGGUGUUCGAAGUUCAACGCUUGCCACUGGCUCGCAUCCUUAGGGUGACUCAGCAUCUUGUCUUUUUUAUUUAUCUCCGGAUCAUUUCCGUCAUCUUCUCGCUUUUUCUCCUCCCUAUACGCGUGCCAACGCAGGAGCUUUGCUACCUUAGGGUCCAUGAAAUACCGCUGCAGACGAGGAGUGAUCGGAAAGUACCACACCACUUUUCGAGGAGCUUUAUUCCUCUUCUUGUAUCGAGUGAUGCCGCACGCCGGACAUAUGGUAGACUCCGCGUGCUCGUCCCGAUAAAUGAUGCAAUUGUUCAUGCACACAUGAUAUUUCACGUGCGGUGAAUUCAGAGGACACACGAUUUUCUUCGCCUCCACGAAACUGGUCGGGCACUUGUUCCCCUUGGGAAGACGUUCGUGCCAGAAUGACAUGUUCUCGUCGAAGCAUGCGUCGUUCAUUUUGUGUUUUACCUUCAUCUACAGAGCCAUGAGCGUUACUUUCAGGCGGGUAUCCUCGGGCCUGCAUCCUUCAUACAAUGGAGUAACCGCGUCUAUCUCCAGUUGAUCCAGCUUGGCUUUCUCUCGCGCGGCAGCUCUUGCGUUAUCCGUCUGCUUGAGAAGCAGCUCUUGAAUAUGAGGGUCCUGCACCCAGCCCAUCGAUGGUCCAUCGUCGUCUGCUCCGUCGGUAUCUUCAUCUUCAUGAUCAUGCCCUUCGUCUGCUCCGGCAUCUUCCUCAUCAUCAUGUCCUGCAUCUUCUACAUGAUGACUGUGUACAACAUCACCGUCGUGAUCAUGUCCUGGAGAUUCUUCGUCUUCUCGCCCGCCCGAGCAGCGGUGGUUGUCUUGCUGCCCUUCCUCAUUUCUUGCCCGGCCCCCAUGGACGACUUCAUAAUCAUCUUCAUGACCUUGCCACCGAUAGCCAUCCAUGAAACCACGCAAGAGUAGGUGGCCCCGCACCUGUACGGAAUCCGGUUCCAUAAGGCUCUUCAGCUUGCAUCUUCAACACAGACAUCUUAUCUCCGUCUCAUUCUUUUGAAUCAUCUCGGGCUUCGCGGAGAUCAAAAACCUAUUCAUGAUGCCUUCGGUCAUCGUGCGGACCAUGGUCGCCUGCGGGGUAGAGCAAAGCAAUAUUUUAGAACCAAAAAAAAUUGGCAUGACUUUGCCUGAAAAUAGGACCAAAAAGAAUGCGUAGUGCCAAAUUCUUGCCGAAACGGAAAUGAAUCAACAUUCCGGCAAAAUAUUGGCAACUCGCAUUUCAAAUACCGGAACCUGCAAACACAAACAUAUGCAACACCACAAACAUAUGCAACACCACAAACAUACGUAGAUCUAGGCCAUAAAAAGUGCAUGUGCACGUUGUUGGAGGGAGAAAAAAGUAGAUCUACAACAUAAGCUUUCCCCUUACUUACCUAUAAAAAAAGGGAAUUUAAUCACUUAAUUUGGGUGAAUCUAUGGUGCAAAUGAGGUGAGGAGGAGGAGGCAGCCGAGACAAGCUUGAAAGAGGAGGUGGAGAGAAUGAAGUAGGGAAAGUGAGUGUGGUAGGUGGCUGUCCAAAAUAUCUAGCUGUUCUCAGGUUACCAAUGACGCACCACCUAAUAAUGCGCCAUUAGUAACCAGUUACUAAUGGCGCACCUGUUAUAUGGUGCGCCAUUACUAGUUUUGAAAAAAAAGUUGUUCGUAGUGGCGCACCGUGGUUGUGGUGCGUCAUUACUAGUUUGAACUAGUAAUGGUGCAAUAUCUCCUGGUGCGCCAUUACUAGUUUUGAAAAAAGAAAGUAAAAAAAUUGUUAGUAGUGGCGCACAGAGUGAGUGGUGCGCCAUUACUAGUUAAAACUAGUAAUGGCGCACUAUCCCCUGAUGCGCCAUUACUAGUUUUAAAAAAAAAUUGUUAGUAGUGGCGCCAUUAGUGAUAUGAACACUAAUGACGUACCUAUACAUGGUGCGCCACUGCUAUAUAGCAGUCGCGCACCACAUUUGUGGUGCGCCAUUAAUGUUCAUAUUAGUUAUAGCCCUUUUUCUAGUAGUGCUACCUUCUUAUCUCACAUGUAAAAAGAGAAGGUAAGAGGGAGCAUGUUAAAAUUUGCCAUGUAUAUGCAAUGCGUUCUUAUUGACGGAUGGAUGCGGUUGUGUCAGUGGUCGUGGUCGUCACCGCGUUGGUCUUCAUAUCUCCUCCUCCUUAUACUACUACGUAAUACAUUAGAAUUAGCGUUAGGUAAACUUUAGGUAGGAGACUGAUAAUAGACAAGGAUGAUGGCCUUGUCACGUUUGUUAUGUUAAUAUACAGUCAGGCUCAUUCAUACAAGGCUUGCCCCAGCACUGAGUUACAAGAAAUCAGCUUAAGAUAUCUUGCAAUCACACCAUAAUCAUACACAUAUGUGAUUUUUAUGCAAAUCCUUUCUUUGACCUACUACGACCAGCAACUACCGGCCUGCACAAUUUUCUAUCAUUCCAAAACAAAACGAGCUAUUGUACAACAUGGAGAUAAGACAAUUACAAGGGGAAGAGAUCUAAGAAGACAAAGUACAUAACCAAGAAAUAAGAAUUAUUGCUUAUAGAAAACAAUUUUUUUUGAAAAGGAGGAAGACCCCCGGCCAAGCCUAACAUCCAAGACCUGAGGCCCCGACCAAGCCACUUGCCGGCUAUGGGGCACACACCGGUCCGGCGCACACACAGAGGCCGCCGCAGCCAACUGCCACCAAUCCAUCUUCAGAGCUGUACUGACGCAUCAACCUUGCCUGGUCUAGCUGCUGUCGACGCCACCACGACGCCAGACAACGCCACCAUCAUGGACUCGUCCAUCAACACAAGCCUAGCAGCGAGACCCCGCUGCUCCAUGCCACUGAGACCCGCCAUUGUCGACAUGUCAGAUGCAACGCUGCUCCUCCUUUACGAACACCACAUGCAGCCACUGGUGCCAUCCCUCCACUCCCAACCGAGCCCCAAUGCCCCUGACGACGCCACCAAGAAGGUCACGACGCGAACAGCGCCGCUACCGCCAAAUUCAAAGAGGAUUGGAGGUUUUCACUCGGCAUGAGAUCGGGGUGGGUAGAUUGGGCCCUCAGCUGCGCCUUCAUGAAGGAAAGCGAAACCCAUGGGUGCCGCCGCCGCCGGGCUGGCCUGACCGGCCAAGGUUUCCCCCGGACACAAGGUACACCACCAGGGCUCACCAUCACUGAAGCCUGUAGCCGCAAACCACCGGGACGCCGAGAGAGGCAACAGGGGAAAAGGGAACCUCCAGAUCUGACGCCACGACACCAACCCACCGGAGGAUCACGGGCCACCCGAUCCAAUCCCCAGCAGCCCACCUGCCCCGCUGCGCCCGGACACGGAGGCCAACCCAAGGGCUGCCACCCCAGAUCCAGGGCCCUCCGCUCGAAAUCAGGCAGAGCAGAGCCAGCCUGCCGCCACGACCAUCACUGGGUCACCGGCCGGCCGCCACGCUGUUGUGCUCCAGAUGGAGGUCGCCGUGGGCCAAAUCGGUGCCGCCGCCAUCGAUAGGGGACUCGUCCUCAAGAUUGGGGAUCCCGCGCAUCCCGAUCCCCAAGUGAGAGGGCGAUGCCUCCGCGUCGCCAUCACAUGCACGGGCUUAGCCCGGCGCCAACCACCGGCGGCGGCGGAGGGGAGAGCGAGAAGGAGGAGGGGCACCGGCGGCGGAGGGUUGGGUCCCCUUGGUCACCCGCGCGGUGGGCGAUGGAGGGGAAGGGGGAGGGGGAGGGGGAGAGCUUACAGAAAACAACUACAUGUCACUAAGGAACAGAACGAGAGAUCAGAUAGAAAAGUAGAGAAAUGAGUAAACGGCUUGUUGCGUAUGCUUGCCCAUAGCAGAAGGUCAUCUCCACAACUAGGAAUAAGAACAGGGUAGUCCUCUUUUUUUUGUUAAAUCUUCGGGUUAUGGUGCUUCCAAAUAUUCCAAAGAAAGCAGAUGCACAACAAAGAGGGGACCUAUUUGGUAGAAAAUCGAGGCCGAGGACAAGCAAUCACAAGCAUAAAAUCAAUAUUUGUUGACAAGGUUUUGCAAACUAGUCUACUCACCAAGCAGGGUUACGAGAGCUCCUCCCCAGGUACUAAAUUGAGAUGACAAAUUCCACUAAGGCAAUCGAACAACAUGUCUAGCCAAUCACCACUACCGGUCAGGCCAUCCCUGCCAUGUCCCCCGCGCCUUCCCUCGUGUGAUUCAUGUCUAGACUACCAGUUUCGUCUAGUCUAUUUUGGCAACCCGUGGUGCCUUUAUAUGUUAGACCUUGGUUACGCGUAUUUGAUUCAAACACCUUACAUUCCGCAAAGUACAAGUCUAAUAAUAGUACAACUCUAACACAUAUUCGACAAAAUUCAAACAAACUUAUGACUCGUGAAUAUGUCUUCGUCAUCUUCAAGCUCCCAAGCAUGGACCACAAUGUACUAAAUUUGGACUUGAACCAUCAGGCAUGAUAGAGCAUGAUGAACAAAACAUACAUGAUAAUCGGACCAUUAUAAGUACUAAACAAUCUAGACAUGCAAUCUGAUAGAUAAGAAAGCAUAGGAUGUCCAUGUUGAUUUGUACUACGAAUACACCAAUGGAAAAGCCUAAUUAAAAGAAGCGAUAAGAGUACUUACGAGAUGGGUGUAGCAUAAGCAACGUUAGAUGCAGCGGCGGUGUCCUUAGUAUUGUGGUUGGACGGAGCCAACUAGUAGUCCAUGAACUAGUUGAUGGAGCAUGAACAUUCGAGUAAUCAUGGGAGUAGUAGCAGUAUUGUGGUCCCCAAAAACCUAAUCACCUCUCUCUUUUACAUGAUUGCAAGAGACGGGGUUCCGGAGGCCUGCUCCCUCCCCCUUCACGGUGCACGUCGAGAAGCAGGAUAGAGAAACUUAGAAGCGGCACAGUUCACAUAGACUUCAGUCAAAUAUUAAAAUUCCUUAUUCAGAUGAAACAUCAAAGUUAAGAGCCAACAUCAAAACAAAAGGAGCUCCACAUGUUGGUUCUUUGUCCAAUGAACUAAUUUUUCAUCCAGCACUAAACAAGCUUGUGCCAUGACACCAUCCAUGCAUAGAGUGGAAUACUUCACUUGCUAACUCUUCGGACGGUCUUACCCCCCAGUUCGACACUUCUUUAUUUUCCUGUUUCCUCUGCAAAAUUGGCCAUGAUUUAAUUCAAAACCCCACCAUGUUGAUCUUAGUACAUCGACAAUCAAUUUUCUUAUCAUCAAAACAAGCACCACUUCUAAUUAUUCAAAUGGUCAAGAAAACAUAAGCAAUUCCAACCAUUACUAGAUGUUUGACUUGCCUUGAAAAUCAAGAAAUCCAUGAAGUAAACGUUUAUUCGACUGAAUGUCUGAUUCAGAUACUCUAAAUGUAGAAGGCACACUGCAUAACAUUCCAAACUAGUUUUGCAAGAGAACACUUAAGGAAAAAGAUCAACUAUUUUAUCUAAACCACAAAAUUGACAUCUAUUUUCUUAUUGUUAAUCCCUCUUCAGGAUCAACAAUUAAGGAAAAAGGUGAUAAAAAUUUAUUCCCCCUUCUCGCAGCUUUUUCGGAAGUCCUUUAGGUAAAUCUCUGCAAUUUAACAUGAACGUGAAGUAAAAAUUAUGCUAUGGUGAUCAAAUAAGCAUCAAAUUGGAGUACUUACCUUAUGAAAUCACGUAGUGUUGCCGUGUGUAUCCUAGUUUUGCAGAGGCCGGGUGUGCGCUCAUUGUCAUUGUACCAAUUGAUGUUACAUUAUGAGUCAAUACAAAACGUCCUUUGUCGAGAAAAUGAAAUCAUGAUGCAAAAUGCAUAUAUCAAUAAUUAAUCAUUAUUGUUUCCAUAGCAUCGACACCACAUAUAAUGCAUGCAUGUACUCCCUCCGUUCCUAAAUAUUUGUCUUUCUAGCUAUCUUAAAUGGACAACAUACGGAUGUAUGUAGACAUGUUUUAGAGUGUAGAUUCACUCAUUUUGUUUCGUAUGUAGUCACUUGUUGAAAUCUCUAGAAAGACAAUUAUUUGGGAACAGAGGGGGUAUAUGUUAGUACAAAUUGAUAAUCCAUCUUGUCCCUUGUUAACAGGCACCAACUGGACAAGUGGUCACAGGGCAUGCCAUGACCAGGCCACUAUAGUCGUGAGACAUAUAUUAGUCAGAUGUUAUUCUACACUUUCAAGGAAGAAUAAGAGUCCGACGUUAGCACGCGCAAGCAUGCUAAGUGUGUGUGUAAGUUAAGUAUGUGAAACAUGCAUGAACUUGCGCCGAUUAUACUGUUAGCCGUUUUAGGUUUUGGAUUCAUCGGAGUCUUGCCACCGCUCUACCUUAGCUAGGGCAUCUUCUAGUCACUGAACCGCCGUCACACACGCCACUGUGAUAACAAAUGCAGACCUUGAUACCGAAUGCCAAAUUCCUGCUCGAAAGAAACUGGAUGAACCCACAGUACAUGUAUGUCACUAUUUCCUUUUAUUCAGUCGCCCAACAACAACCUGCACAUGGCUAGACAACAUAACCGGAGAAAAACUUUACUUGGCCGCAAUGUGGACUAGCACGCUUCUGGCCUACAAGCAAAGUACCUACGGAUUCCGUUGAGCCGAGUUUACAAAUUAACAUAUUGCAAUAUAAACUAGAGUACUUGACGCAAACACACCGCUUAACUUCGUCCUGGUCGGACGAUGUCGGAGAUCAGGUGGUCUCACCCCUUUGGAGGCUUACUCUCACUUUUUAUUCUUAGGCGGCAGCUUCCUGUUCUUCUUCUAAGUCAGCAUCGGGUUAUUCCUGGACUGCACCUGGUUCUUCUUGAACGACGGUGGUUUUGUCAACUGGGUACUGAUUGACGGUGCCUUGGUCUUGUUAGGGGCAUCCUUUGCAGGUUCCUUCCCCUUGCCCAUGACGCAAUCUCCUUCUCUUCUUCUUGACCACGUGCCGGCGUAACUCAAGUGUUUGGACCCACGUGUCAUACAUAGUUCAUUUUGUCCAUGUUAUAUUUAGAGUGGAACCAUGUAUCAGUACAAGACAUGUGUCACCGUUUCGACUAAUCCGUGUCGUUGUAGAUUUCUUUCAUUUCAAUCUAAUUCAUGCAUGACUUUUAACAUAUCUUCAAAGAAUACGAGCUGCUGUAUUCCUGUUGCUUUUAUUACUUUAAAAAUAUAAUCAAUAGAAGUUCCUGGUUAGUUCAUUUAGAUUCAGUGGCACACAUACAUGGUUUCGACAGUAAAGCUAGUAGCUUAUACAAUAUUCCGCGGCCGGUGUCCAUCAGAGGUAUAGAUACCACUAACGGGACACAUUACAACACCGCCCAAUGGCCUUCUCUCUUGUAGUGAUGGACUCUUUUGUCAUUCGUUCUGUUGUAACCAUGAGUGGGACAAGAUACUCGAUUUGCCUAUCUUAGGAUUUGUUGAAUGCAAGGUGGUUAAGGGAGGUUCUUAAAGAAAUAAACCAACUUUUUCUUUGUGCAUCAAUUCUUGUUCAUAGAGGGCAGAUGCUUAAUUAGGCAUCCCUUCUAUAGAGAUAACCGAUGGUGCUUAAACAAGAAACUUAAAGGUUUUUCCUUUAGAAUCAGCGGACGUUCAUAUACAUGAAUUUACACUCCCCUAUGAAUUCACACACGCACACUCUAUCCCUUAUGAGCACCUCUGAGAAAUUGAACCAACAGGUUGCGAGAUUGACGAAGUCAUGACCUGUGCAUCGCUGUCGAUGGGUCGUCGCUUACAGCGAAAGAAUAAGUCGUUAAACCCAGAAAUAUAUCGGGAAAACUGCAAACACCCUUCUCAAGUCAAGGACUUGAACCAGGUUGGAUAGCUUCCACCACAAGGAACCUAACAAACUGUGCUACGCUCAAUUCACCGAAGAGAUAAUGGUUGCGGUUUAUUAACCCUAUAUGUAUGUCUUUUUCGGCUCUUUCUUCUUAUUCAACUUCCCAACAAUAACCUCCCACAUGACUCAUAACACAACACAAGGAAAAAAAGGACUUCAUUUGGCCGCAACGUGAACCAGCACGCUUCUGGCCUAUAGACAGACUGGCUACGGAUUCUACAGCAGUGAUCGGAUCGAAUCAAAUUUACAAAUUAACUUACUGUAACGCAAACGGAGCUACUCAACAUAAACACACAUAACUUCAUCCUGGCCAGUGGACGUCGAUCACUGCGCGGCUGUUGUCACCUCUUUCGAGGCUAAUUCUUCUUAGACGGCGUCGUCUGUUUCAUCUGCUUCUUCUGAGGCAGGAGCGACUUCCUCCUAUGGGCUGUCUUCGUCAAUUGCGUAUUGCUUGACGAUGCCUUCACCUUCUUUGGGGGAACCUUUGCAGCUUGCUCGCCCAUGACAAGAUUUGCUUCUUUUCUAAUAAUUCUUCUUCUCCAGUGGUAGCUGAGGUGAGGUGGAUAUAGUGUUUACUUUGCUCUGGUUGGGUUGAGGAAGCCUGCAGCAAUGGCUCCAUAUAUAUAGGAGGGGGAAGGUCUUUGAGAAAGCGCUUCGGCCAGACAACACGCUUCCACCGUGUGUGAGAAUUAUUUGGUGGCAUUAAUGUUUC